RNAcentral lists this ribosomal RNA (477 nucleotides) under uncultured bacterium. RNAcentral describes it as "partial 16S ribosomal RNA". It matches the Rfam family "Bacterial small subunit ribosomal RNA", at positions 28 to 523 of the family's 1533-position model. The record is from RNAcentral.
GACGAACGCUGGCGGCGUGCUUAACACUGCAAGUCGAACGGUAAGGCCCUUCGGGGUACACGAGUGGCGAACGGGUGAGCAACACGUGGGUGAUCUGCCCUGCACUUCGGGAUAAGCCUGGGAAACUGGGUCUAAUACCGGAUAGGACCCUGGGAUGCAUGUCCUGGGGUGGAAAGCUUUUGCGGUGUGGGAUGGGCCCGCGGCCUAUCAGCUUGUUGGUGGGGUGAUGGCCUACCAAGGCGACGACGGGUAGCCGGCCUGAGAGGGUGACCGGCCACACUGGGACUGAGAUACAGCCCAGACUCCUACGGGAGGCAGCAGUGGGGAAUAUUGCACAAUGGGCGCAAGCCUGAUGCAGCGACGCCGCGAGAGGGAUGACGGCCUUCGGGUUGUAAACCUCUUUCAGCACCGACGAAGCGCAAGUGACGGUAGGUGCAGAAGAAGGACCGGCCAACUACGUGCCAGCCGCCGCCGUAA